RNAcentral lists this ribosomal RNA (30 nucleotides) under Lepiota rufipes. RNAcentral's name for it is "partial 18S ribosomal RNA". The record is from RNAcentral. Lineage: Eukaryota; Fungi; Basidiomycota; Agaricomycetes; Agaricales; Agaricaceae.
AGCUGAACAGACAGAGAGCAGUGGUCGUUU